Molecule: long non-coding RNA, 1410 nt
Organism: Felis catus (domestic cat)
Lineage: Eukaryota; Metazoa; Chordata; Mammalia; Carnivora; Felidae
Exons: 3
Source: RefSeq, a predicted model, not a curated record
AUAAAACUCUGGAGGGAGGUACCACCUGGCAGGCAGACAGCUUGGACACAGACAGGGUAUAGGUGGGGAGUGGAUGGAGGCCUGAGCCAAAGGAGGGGUGCUUGAUCCCAGGUCGGUGAGAGCAUGAAGUUCCUGUGCCACAGACUAAGGAACCAGGUCUAUAUAUAUUACAUUAAGUUCAAACCUGGCAAGUCUCCUCCUUGACACCUACUGCUGGAUGAUGUUGGCUCUGUUACAAAUGAGAAAAUGUGAAGAUCCUCAAGUGACUUAGAGCACAAUUGCGAGGAGACAAUGAAGACAUGUCACCUGAACUUGCCUACCUAAUGUAGCCCAACAGGAGUGGUUCUGAACCAUGGACACUUUUGGUUCCCAGAGGACAUUUGCCAAUUUGUGGAGACAUUUUUGGUUGUCGCACAUAAGCCAUCUAGUGGAUGGAGGCCAAAGAUGCUGCACAUCCUGCAAUGUAUAGAAGAACCCACUCACUAUAACCAAGAAUUAUUUGGUCCAAAAUAUGAAAUCAUCAGUAGUGCCAAAGUGGAGAAACCCUGCUCUAGAGGGCUGUGGCCAUGCUUAUAAAAACAUCUCUCUCUAGAGGACCUUGUUACUGUCUUGGUAACAACAAGGGGUUCCUGUCACUAUCUAUAGCAACCAUGGAGAAGUUUUGAGCUGUCAAAAUUUCACACGAUUGAGAUCCUCUCUCCCAUCCCAGAGAAUCCAAUUAAUGUUUUAGGAGGUGGGAGAUAAACCAGAACUGAAAUAAUGUACUAUCAGCAGAUCCUCACUGUAGAAAUUCUCAAAGACUCAUGGAAGUAUUUUGGGAAGAAGGAAAUGAUUGCAAAAAAAAAAAAAAAAACCAACUGGAAUGCAAGAAGAAAAUGGUAGGAGCAUUAAAAAGGUUAAUGAUAUAUACAACAAUAACAAUGAUGUCCAAUUUAGGGAGUUAAGGAAAUAAGUUGGAACAAAGUGUCUAGACAACAGUAGCAUGUAAAUGGCACAUGGAAAUGGAGUGUGAAAGUUCUAAAUUCCUUAAAGAUAAAGCUACUCAUUGAAAUUAUAAUUUGUUAAGAUAUAUAAGCAUAUUAAAAUUUUAGGAUAAUGACUAAAAGAAUAAAGAUAAAAUAUAUAAUUUCCAAGUUAAUGAAGGGAAAAAUUCAAUGGGGGUGGAUCUCAAUCCAAAAGAAUGAGGGAAAAAGGAAAAUUUAAAACAAUUGGAGCAAUAUGAAACAAAUCACAAAAGAAGGUGGUAAAAUAAAUCCAAAUAUAUGAGUAAUCAUGAUAUAUGUAAAUAGACUAGAAUUUAUAAGUUUAAAUUAUCAGACUAGAUAAAACAUACAAAUCCAGAAUGUAUGUUCUAUAUACAAGGAAAACAUUACAAAUUAAAGAAGCAAUUAAAAGGUUUUUUUAGGGGCG